CGAGAUUCCUCGUGUCUAACUUCUUAGGAGACCGCUGCUUUCUGCCUCCGUGUGUCGCGAUGUGUGGCUUUGGUGGACGUCUGUGAAGGAAAUCCAGCCUCUCGCGUGUGUAGUUGGCAAAAGGAGGAGUAUUUCUGUUGAUGGUGGGCAGCGCCUCCCGGUCCUAACCCAGGGCUCCGUUCGUUGCACCUCCUCUGUGCAGUUUCCAUGCUUGAAGACAGCACAUUUGACAGCCUUCUUAUGCACUGGAACACAAGUGCUCG
Molecule: long non-coding RNA, 263 nt
Filed under: Homo sapiens (human)
Lineage: Eukaryota; Metazoa; Chordata; Mammalia; Primates; Hominidae
Description: PREDICTED lncRNA (TCONS_00013433)
Source: RNAcentral